RNAcentral lists this long non-coding RNA (773 nucleotides) under Zonotrichia albicollis (white-throated sparrow). Its description in RNAcentral is "lncRNA (ENSZALG00000003776.1)". Lineage: Eukaryota; Metazoa; Chordata; Aves; Passeriformes; Passerellidae. The record is from RNAcentral.
CCCUGUUUGAGCACCUGCAGCACUGCUGGGCUCUGAUGUCCAAAUAACUUCUGGUUCUUUGGAACAAGAGCAGUAAAGAAUGGACAACCUUGGAGCUUGGUUCCAGAACACUGCAAUGUACUUGGACACUGCAAAGGUUUUAACAUGCUUCUGGUUGUCCAAAAAGCCAAUUGCAUCUGUGCCUAUGCAGUCCUUUCCCCCCACCAAUUUGCCAGUGUUCUACCUUGUAACCAGCCCUGCCUCUACAGAUGAUCUUAGAAUAAGGCUGACUCUCCUGGUAGAAAAGUCCUUCCCUUUUAGAAGAAAUGUUAUAGCCAGAUACUGGACAAGUUCUCCCAUUUCUGGAUAAGAGUCCUUGCCCAGGUAUGCCCAGGACUUCUCCACAAGUCAGUGUCAACCUUCCUGUAUUAUUUUAAGAUACAUUUGUAUUAUCACUUGAAACAGUGUUGGCAUUUGGAACUGAGAAGGUAAGAAAGGAUGCUGAAAGGAAAACAUGCACUGAACAAAGAUUUCCACUGAAAAUGACAAGCUUUACCAUUAGAGGAACUAAAGACUUCUGCAAAUUUUAAUUUUUAAUAGACAUAAUUUUAUGGCAAGCAUCCUGUGGAACAAUGAGAAGUUUUAAGGAAAAAAAUUUAGUUACUGCCUGAAUUGUGUAUAUAGCUUGCUGAACUGAAGCCACAGGUAGAGAAACAAUGUACAAUGCUUGGAAGUGACUUCUUCCACAAUUUUAAUGAAAUAAAAUAAAUCAACCUCCUGAGAAAACGAAGUUU